Molecule: ribosomal RNA, 2443 nt
Filed under: Escherichia coli
Lineage: Bacteria; Pseudomonadati; Pseudomonadota; Gammaproteobacteria; Enterobacterales; Enterobacteriaceae
Description: bacterial LSU rRNA
Rfam family: Bacterial large subunit ribosomal RNA
Source: RNAcentral
UGUGAGCUCGAUGAGUAGGGCGGGACACGUGGUAUCCUGUCUGAAUAUGGGGGGACCAUCCUCCAAGGCUAAAUACUCCUGACUGACCGAUAGUGAACCAGUACCGUGAGGGAAAGGCGAAAAGAACCCCGGCGAGGGGAGUGAAAAAGAACCUGAAACCGUGUACGUACAAGCAGUGGGAGCCUCUUAAUGGGGUGACUGCGUACCUUUUGUAUAAUGGGUCAGCGACUUAUAUUCUGUAGCAAGGUUAACCGAAUAGGGGAGCCGAAGGGAAACCGAGUCUUAACUGGGCGUUAAGUUGCAGGGUAUAGACCCGAAACCCGGUGAUCUAGCCAUGGGCAGGUUGAAGGUUGGGUAACACUAACUGGAGGACCGAACCGACUAAUGUUGAAAAAUUAGCGGAUGACUUGUGGCUGGGGGUGAAAGGCCAAUCAAACCGGGAGAUAGCUGGUUCUCCCCGAAAGCUAUUUAGGUAGCGCCUCGUGAAUUCAUCUCCGGGGGUAGAGCACUGUUUCGGCAAGGGGGUCAUCCCGACUUACCAACCCGAUGCAAACUGCGAAUACCGGAGAAUGUUAUCACGGGAGACACACGGCGGGUGCUAACGUCCGUCGUGAAGAGGGAAACAACCCAGACCGCCAGCUAAGGUCCCAAAGUCAUGGUUAAGUGGGAAACGAUGUGGGAAGGCCCAGACAGCCAGGAUGUUGGCUUAGAAGCAGCCAUCAUUUAAAGAAAGCGUAAUAGCUCACUGGUCGAGUCGGCCUGCGCGGAAGAUGUAACGGGGCUAAACCAUGCACCGAAGCUGCGGCAGCGACACUAUGUGUUGUUGGGUAGGGGAGCGUUCUGUAAGCCUGUGAAGGUGUACUGUGAGGUAUGCUGGAGGUAUCAGAAGUGCGAAUGCUGACAUAAGUAACGAUAAAGCGGGUGAAAAGCCCGCUCGCCGGAAGACCAAGGGUUCCUGUCCAACGUUAAUCGGGGCAGGGUGAGUCGACCCCUAAGGCGAGGCCGAAAGGCGUAGUCGAUGGGAAACAGGUUAAUAUUCCUGUACUUGGUGUUACUGCGAAGGGGGGACGGAGAAGGCUAUGUUGGCCGGGCGACGGUUGUCCCGGUUUAAGCGUGUAGGCUGGUUUUCCAGGCAAAUCCGGAAAACUAAGGCUGAGGCGUGAUGACGAGGCACUACGGUGCUGAAGCAACAAAUGCCCUGCUUCCAGGAAAAGCCUCUAAGCAUCAGGUAACAUCAAAUCGUACCCCAAACCGACACAGGUGGUCAGGUAGAGAAUACCAAGGCGCUUGAGAGAACUCGGGUGAAGGAACUAGGCAAAAUGGUGCCGUAACUUCGGGAGAAGGCACGCUGAUAUGUAGGUGAAGCGACUUGCUCGUGGAGCUGAAAUCAGUCGAAGAUACCAGCUGGCUGCAACUGUUUAUUAAAAACACAGCACUGUGCAAACACGAAAGUGGACGUAUACGGUGUGACGCCUGCCCGGUGCCGGAAGGUUAAUUGAUGGGGUUAGCGGUAACGCGAAGCUCUUGAUCGAAGCCCCGGUAAACGGCGGCCGUAACUAUAACGGUCCUAAGGUAGCGAAAUUCCUUGUCGGGUAAGUUCCGACCUGCACGAAUGGCGUAAUGAUGGCCAGGCUGUCUCCACCCGAGACUCAGUGAAAUUGAACUCGCUGUGAAGAUGCAGUGUACCCGCGGCAAGACGGAAAGACCCCGUGAACCUUUACUAUAGCUUGACACUGAACAUUGAGCCUUGAUGUGUAGGAUAGGUGGGAGGCUUUGAAGUGUGGACGCCAGUCUGCAUGGAGCCGGCCUUGAAAUACCACCCUUUAAUGUUUGAUGUUCUAACGUUGGCCCCUGAUCGGGGUUGCGGACAGUGUCUGGUGGGUAGUUUGACUGGGGCGGUCUCCUCCUAAAGAGUAACGGAGGAGCACGAAGGUUGGCUAAUCCUGGUCGGACAUCAGGAGGUUAGUGCAAUGGCAUAAGCCAGCUUGACUGCGAGCGUGACGGCGCGAGCAGGUGCGAAAGCAGGUCAUAGUGAUCCGGUGGUUCUGAAUGGAAGGGCCAUCGCUCAACGGAUAAAAGGUACUCCGGGGAUAACAGGCUGAUACCGCCCAAGAGUUCAUAUCGACGGCGGUGUUUGGCACCUCGAUGUCGGCUCAUCACAUCCUGGGGCUGAAGUAGGUCCCAAGGGUAUGGCUGUUCGCCAUUUAAAGUGGUACGCGAGCUGGGUUUAGAACGUCGUGAGACAGUUCGGUCCCUAUCUGCCGUGGGCGCUGGAGAACUGAGGGGGGCUGCUCCUAGUACGAGAGGACCGGAGUGGACGCAUCACUGGUGUUCGGGUUGUCAUGCCAAUGGCACUGCCCGGUAGCUAAAUGCGGAAGAGAUAAGUGCUGAAAGCAUCUAAGCACGAAACUUGCCCCGAGAUGAGUUCUCCCUGACUCCUUGA